This 122-nucleotide long non-coding RNA is filed under the name Amphimedon queenslandica. RNAcentral's name for it is "uncharacterized LOC109592017, transcript variant X2". Lineage: Eukaryota; Metazoa; Porifera; Demospongiae; Haplosclerida; Niphatidae. The record is from RNAcentral.
AUGGCUGCCAAUAGCUCCUUAAAUCAUUCAUUCUCUCUAUUUAGAGAUUUUCUUUCUGAUAGCCCGUUUUCUAGAGGAGAGCUCUUGUAGGAGAGCGUCUAAGGUACUGAUAGAAGAGUUGG